This 129-nucleotide small nuclear RNA is filed under the name Gopherus agassizii (Agassiz's desert tortoise). RNAcentral describes it as "U4 spliceosomal RNA (ENSGAGG00000008824.1)". It matches the Rfam family "U4 spliceosomal RNA". Rfam says of the family: U4 small nuclear RNA (U4 snRNA) is a component of the major U2-dependent spliceosome. The structure of U4 snRNA from yeast and human has been reported. The record is from RNAcentral. Lineage: Eukaryota; Metazoa; Chordata; Testudines; Testudinidae.
AACUAAGAGUAGUGUAUCGUAGCUAAUGAGGUUAAUCCGAGGCGUGAUCAUUGCUAGUUGAAAACUUUUCCCAAUACCCUACCAUGAUGACUUGAAGUUAAUGGUAGUUAAGUGACAGAAUAUAAACUU